UACGGAGGGUGCAAGCGUUAUCCGGAUUCACUGGGUUUAAAGGGUGCGUAGGUGGGCAGGUAAGUCAGUGGUGAAAUCUUUGGGCUUAACCCGAAAACUGCCAUUGAUACUAUUUGUCUUGAAUAUUGUGGAGGUCAGCGGAAUAUGUCAUGUAGCGGUGAAAUGCUUAGAUAUGACAUAGAACACCAAUUGCGAAGGCAGCUGGCUAAACUGUAACUGACGCUGAGGCACGAAAGCGUGGGUAGCAAACAGG
This 253-nucleotide ribosomal RNA is filed under the name uncultured bacterium. RNAcentral's name for it is "partial 16S ribosomal RNA". It matches the Rfam family "Bacterial small subunit ribosomal RNA", at positions 524 to 776 of the family's 1533-position model. The record is from RNAcentral.